Molecule: ribosomal RNA, 1287 nt
Filed under: Ixodes hexagonus (hedgehog tick)
Lineage: Eukaryota; Metazoa; Arthropoda; Arachnida; Ixodida; Ixodidae
Description: 16S ribosomal RNA
Rfam family: Archaeal large subunit ribosomal RNA (bases 881-1211)
Source: RNAcentral
AAAAUGAAAUCAUUAGAUAUUUCAUUUACAAUGAAAGUUUGUUUGUAAGAACCAUUUUAAUAAAAUUUUAAAGUGUUUAUUUUAAAAUAAGGAAUUAUAAAAGGUUUAUGAGAAGUGUAUUGAUAAUAGAUUUAUAUUUGGGUGAACUGUAGGGGAAACGUGAAAAUUUUGAAAAAUUUAAAAUUAAAGAAGUAUUUAGGAGUACCUUUUGCAUCAGGGUUUUUUAAAGAAAUUAAAAUAUUUUAAUUUCCCGAAGUUAAAAUGAUCUAUAAGAAUAGGAAUAUCAUUAUGUGGAAUUAUAAUGAGUAAUAUUUUUAUAGAAAUGAAAUUUUAUUCAUAUUUAAUGAUAUCUGGUUAUGAAAAUAAUGAUUAUAUAUCAUGCUAUAAUUUUUUUUUUAAUUUUAAAUUUUAUAGAGAUGAUUUGUAGGGAUAAGCUUACAGAUUUCUUUUAUGGUUAAGUUUACAUAAAAAUAAGGGAUGAAAUUUUCUUAGUUUUUUAAUAAAGAAUUGUUGUUAAGGGUUUGGACAAGAGUAAAGUGAUUUAGUGAUUUUAUUAAUUUUUUUUAAUUUAAAAAAAUUAAUAAAAUCAGUAAAAUAGAUAUAUUUGUGUAAACUUUAAUUUGUUUUGGUGGUGUGUUUAUUUAAGUUAGAGGAACUCGGCAAAAUUUAAUGAUUGACUGUUUAACAAAAACAUUUCAUUUUUGAGGUAAUAAAAUGUAAAAUCUGCUCAAUGAUUAUUUAAAUUGCUGUGGUAUUUUGACUAUACGAAGGUAUUGAAAUAAGGCUUUAAAUGGGUGCUAAGAGAAUGGUUUAACGAUUAAUAACUUUCUUUAAUUAAUAAAAUGAAUUUAAUUUUUUUGUGAAGAAGCAAAAAUUUAAAUUAGGGACAAGAAGACCCUAUGAAUUUUUAUUAGAUUGUGAUGAGAAUUAUUUGAAAUCUAAUUUGGUUGGGGUGAUUAAAAAAGAAUAUAUAUCUUUUUGUAUUAAAGAAAUUAAUUUGUUCCGUUAUUAACGAUUAAAUGAGAAAAAUACUCUAGGGAUAACAGCGUAAUAAUUUUGGAUAGUUCAUAUAGAUAAAAUAGUUUGCGACCUCGAUGUUGGAUUAGGAUCCUUUUUUAGUGAAGAAGUUAAAAAAAGAAGUUUGUUCAACUUUUAAAUUCCUACAUGAUUUGAGUUCAAACCGGCGUGAGCCAGGUUGGUUUCUAUCUUAAUUUUCACUUUUAUUUUUUUAGUACGAAAGGAAUAAGAAAUGUUAAUUUUAUUAAUUUAAUUAUUACAUUUUAUUAA